Molecule: long non-coding RNA, 941 nt
Organism: Alosa sapidissima (American shad)
Lineage: Eukaryota; Metazoa; Chordata; Actinopteri; Clupeiformes; Clupeidae
Exons: 3
Source: RefSeq, a predicted model, not a curated record
GCUUCACUGUAAAAAAUACAACUUGCCUUUAGUACUGCCAAAUAACUUUUCUGACUAAACAGAACUCAAAUAAUCAAAUAGUGUAGUAAAACUCAUUAUAACAAGUUUUCACAACUAAUUUGGGAAUUUCACCUAACAAACUUAAGAAACUGAGUUGACUCAACUUGUAUAAUUAAGUAUCUAUAAGAGAGAAGUUUCCCAAAGUUCACUGAACUUCUUAGUCAAGUUGGCGCAAGCGCAUUGUUUCCUAACGUAUCAAGGCGACCUGUGGGCUGCAGCUUGAAUUUGUCAGGAGGACAGAAGCCAGUAACCUUCCCUACCUGUAUGCAGCGUGGAGCAAAUGACAACAGCAUUGUCAAAGACUCUUCUGUUGCAAUGCAAUGUAAGGAGUGUCCAUUUUCUCACCCGGAUGUAGAGACCCUACUGACCCAUUACAGGCUUCAUCACGGUCACCAGGGAAAAAGCUGGCUCUGCCUCCACCCCAAGUGCAUGUGCAUCUUUAAGACUUCAGGAUGCAGAUGCUGAGGAGGACUAGAGGCAUGAAAAUUGGAAUCUUGACCGUCAUUGAAGACGACCUCGCCAUGAAAGCACCAGACACUGUCACCAAUAUCACCAUCGUCCUGGAAGAGACUGUUGUUCUACAGGACACAAGGAUCUUCCAUCUGCACUGGCCUACCUAUGCGGACUCCUGCAUGACAUGGGGUGCCAAUACUUAUGACCCCUGUAUUUUAAGGAAGAACAUUUAUUUAUUUAUGAUACAUUAUUCAUUCACAAAGAAAAUCGGUGUCCUUAAAUGUUGGAUAUUCCCUCAUUUUUUAACUUAAGGCAUUAAGAUCAAUUUCUAAAAGAUGAUUUAAUAUUCCUCUUUUUAGUCCGCGUUAGCAGAGGUGCCAAUAAUUCUGGAGGGUACUGUAGGUCAGGGGUGUUCAAACUGGCUAAAA